Myripristis murdjan (pinecone soldierfish) is the source of this 753-nucleotide long non-coding RNA. RefSeq lists it as uncharacterized. The transcript has 4 exons. NCBI's taxonomy places the organism in Eukaryota, Metazoa, Chordata, Actinopteri, Holocentriformes, Holocentridae. The record is from RefSeq and is a predicted model, not a curated record.
GAAAAUGUUAGCGACACCAAAGUGAGAGUGGAGCGUAAAAGCGAAUAUUUAACAAACGGGAGGAUGUUGAAUAGACCCUGAAGCUGAGGGGAUAUUUUAAACCUGCGGGUACCAGCCAGAGCCAGCAGCUACCGGCUACAACAAGCUACAUUAACCCGAAUAGCGGCUAGCUUAGCAACUGUUGCCCCGAUAGCCCGGCGGCUCCGGGCCGAGUGGCGUCCCGACACAGGAGCCGCAGCCGCGCGUGGAGGAACCAGCGAGGCCCGGUACACCUGGCUCUCAUCCAGCCUCCAGUGAUGGCCUCGGGGAUUCCUGCACCGGGGGAAAUGGACGACCUCAGAUUUUUCAGGAAGUAGCACUGACACCUCUAAUGGCGCUAAAUAGAAGACUGCAUGAAGAUGGGAAGAUGCUAAAAAUCACUGCAGUAUAGCUCUACAAUAUGCUCUUUCCUAAUCUUGUGUUCCUUCUUCUAUUCAGACAAAUGGAACGAUAUUUAUGAUGGCAGUGGGGAUCCUUGAGUGCAAGUGUCAACCAGGGGAGUUCAGCAUGUCCUCCUGUUUGUCCAGGCGCUGCAGCAGGGCGGCUUGGUCAGAGUCCCGGCUCUGUCUCAGGGCCUUCAGCUGAUCUCUCAUCUGCUGGUGCUGCUUCCUCAGCCGUUGUUCACGAGUGUCGCGAUCCCGCACCUCCUCACACAGCCAGCGCAGCUUUGUCUGGGUGUUAAAAAAAAUAAAUAAAUACAAGUUAGUUACUGGA